GUAGGUGAACCUGCGGAAGGAUCAUUAAUGGGUAACGGCCUCGCGCCGCAAUCCCCACCCUUUGCAACCGCGGCCCGGAUUCGGCGCCUGGCGGGGACCCCCUCUGUUCGCGGAGGCCCCCCGCCUGCCGGAAUCAGCCAACCCUGCCUGGAAAACUGAAGUCUGAGAACAAGUUAAAUCAAACAAAACUUUCAACAACGGAUCUCUUGGUUCUGGCAUCGAUGAAGAACGCAGCAUCUGACUGACUUCA
RNAcentral lists this unclassified non-coding RNA (250 nucleotides) under plant metagenome. Its description in RNAcentral is "partial contains small subunit ribosomal RNA, internal transcribed spacer 1, and 5.8S ribosomal RNA". The record is from RNAcentral.